This is a small nuclear RNA of Pseudophryne corroboree (corroboree frog), 194 nucleotides long. RefSeq annotates it as U2 spliceosomal RNA. The record is from RefSeq and is a predicted model, not a curated record. Lineage: Eukaryota; Metazoa; Chordata; Amphibia; Anura; Myobatrachidae. The transcript has a single exon.
AUCACCUCUCGGCCUUCUGGCCAAGAUCAAGGGUAGUAUCUGUUCCUCAUAGGGGGCAUAUUAGACAUGAAACUAUCUGGGAGCCAUAUAUUAUAUGAAAAUUUAGAACAGGGAGAUGGGUAAAGAGCUUGCGCAUUAACCGGGUACUGCAGUACUACUAUGAAAUUCCCUGCUCGCAGAGCUUCUGAUUACAU